UUAAUAUUAGUUAAAAUUUAAUAACAUUUAAUUUACAAUUAAAAUUUUUUUUAAAAAAAAUAUUAUA
Molecule: transfer RNA, 67 nt
Filed under: Euaspis polynesia
Lineage: Eukaryota; Metazoa; Arthropoda; Insecta; Hymenoptera; Megachilidae
Description: tRNA-Val
Source: RNAcentral